RNAcentral lists this long non-coding RNA (1020 nucleotides) under Ananas comosus (pineapple). RNAcentral describes it as "long non-coding RNA (ACOM_LNC006495)". Lineage: Eukaryota; Viridiplantae; Streptophyta; Magnoliopsida; Poales; Bromeliaceae. The record is from RNAcentral.
UUUGAAGUGAUGAUACUUGUAUGUAGAAGUGUAUUUCGAAUUAUUAUUAACUAGUGUAGGAACCCACGCGAUGCGGCGGAUAUAAUCAUAUUUGAUUAAAUUUAAUAAUAUAAAAAAUACUUUAAAACUUUUAGAAUAAAAUUAUAAUUUAAUAAAAAAUAACGAAAGAAAAAAAAAUUAUAGGAGAAAAAAAUGUGUUAUAUAGAAAUCGGACCCCUUUGUAUCUUCAUUUAGGGCAUUCUCUACUAACACCGAUGCUUUCGUGAAAUAUCACAGCGCCUUCAACCCUUUUUUGGCAAGUCCUAUAUAUUACAAAUAUAAGUGGUCGACAUCGAGGGAGAAAGGUUAGAGGCUAGGGUUAGAGUUCGACUCACUCGACAUUGACGGUGAGAGCGAGGGCGGUGCGCUUGCGGGCUUGAGGGGAGCGGACAUAGUAGGCGAGGUCGUUGUCGAGAACGCCAUUUGCCGUGCCCACAGGCUUCUCGGGCAACGAUUCUUAGAAAAUAGAAACUAAUGAGAGGGAAGUCGAAGUAGCUACGUUACAAAGAAGUAAUUAUGAGAUGGAAAGUUGAAGAGACAUACGUUAUGGAAAAAAAUUAAUAAGAUGAGAAACCGAAAAGGUAGACGUUACAGGGAAGGAAAGCCGAAGAGACCGCUUAGCUAUUUGGUUCAAAAGAGAGACAAGUGAGGGUGAAAGAUAGGCUGCCACGUGGUAAGAUUAGGGGAAAUAAUGUUAAUGUAUAGAUUAGUGGGUAUUAUAUUACAAAAUAAUUACGAAAAUGUUUAUUACGUUUUAAUUUUCGAAAAUUCAGAAAUGAAAUCCAAUAUGAUGUUUGACUCCAAAAAAAGAAAAUAUACAUUAGCUACUAUCUUACCGCGCAUGUGUACACUACUGACUCAUGAAAUACAAUAUUUCGCACAUCUUUAAUAAUUCAACAAUUUUUAAAAGUAUAUUUUUAGUCAAAUAAAGUAUCUUGUAUAUCUAAUGUACAAUGCACAUGGGAUCCCUCAGACUUUCUU